UCUGGUUGAUCCUACCAGUGAUAUACGCUCGUCUCAAAGGUUAAGCCAUGCAUGUCUAAGUACAAGCUUCCUAGAAAGUGAAACCGCAUAAGGCUCAGUAUAACAGCUAUAAUUUACAAGAUCCUCAUCCAAACAGUUACUUGGAUAACUGUGGAAAGCCAGAGCUAAUACAUGCAUUAUGCCGGGACUGUUGGCCUCCGGUCGGCGGAACUGGUGCACUUAUUAGUUAAACCAAUCGCCUCCGGCGCUUUGAGUUGAAAUCUGGAUAAGGAUGCCGAUCGUACGGUCGCUUGCGACUGACGACAGAUCUUCAAAUGUCUGCCCUAUCAACUAUUGAUGGUAGUGUAGAGGACUACCAUGGUUGCGACGGGUAACGGGAAUCAGGUUCGAUUCCGGAGAGGGAGCCUGAGAAAUGGCUACCACAUCCAAGGAAGGCAGCAGGCGCGUAAAUUACCCAAUCCCGCACGGGAGGUAGUGACGAGAAAUAACAAUAUGGACCUCUUAACGAUGUCCAUAAUUGGAAUGAGUUGAGCAUAAUCCUUUUGCAAGGAUCAAGUGGAGGCAAUCUGGUGCAGCAGCCGCGUAAUUCAGCUCACUAGCGUAUAUUAAAGUUGUUGCGGUUAAACGUUCGAAGUUGAUACCCGUCAGACUCGCGUCCGUCGCGGCGCCGGCUCUCGGUUGGACCGUCCGUGUACGCGCUCGCGCUGCGACUCACAAUGGUGUACCUGGCGUUCUACUCCGUGACGGUCAGGACUUGUCGCCGCGACCUCGUCGGUCAAGGUCUUGUUCGACCAGCUCAUGGUGCCGGAACUCUCGUUUACUUGAACAAAUUAGAGUGCCAAAGCAGGCUAGUUCAAAGCGUCCGUCCUCCGGGCCGGCGUUGGCCGAGUAAUUUUGCAUGGAAUAAUGAACAUGACUCGGUCUGAGUGUUUCGUUGUUUGUAAUAGACAAGAGUAAUGAUUAACAGAAGUAGUCGGGGCAUUGUAUUACGGCGCGAGAGGUGAAAUUCGUAGACCGUCGUAGGACCCAGAAGCGAAGGUUUGCCAAGAUGCUUUCAUUAUCAGAACGAAGUUAGAGGAUCGAAGCGAUUAGAUACCGCCUAGUUCUAACCGUAAACGAUGCAAUUAGCAAUUGGAGACGCUACCUACCUUCGGUGUCUCAGUAGCUUCCGGAACCAAAUCGGGUUCGGGGAAGUAUGUUGCAAAGUUGAACUUAAAGAAUUGACGAAGGGCACCACAAGAAGUGGAGCUUGCGCUUAAUUGACUCAACACGGAAACUUACCAGUCCGAAUUAUUGAGGUAAGACAGAUUGAUAGCUCUUCUCAAACUUAAGGUAGUGUGCAUGCGUUCUUAGUUCGUGGAAUGAUUUGUCUGGUUAAUUCCGAUAACGAACGCGACUCAGUCAAGCUAAUAGAACGCUGUCAGUAGUGUGCCUCGGGCACCUGACGUUAGAGUGGCGGGUGUCCUCACGGUGCCGUCACUUAGUUUGCCCUGCUUAGCGGGACAACUUGUUUUAGCAGAUGAGAUUGAGCGAUAACAGGUCCGUGAUGCCCUUAGAUGUUCUGGCUGCACGCGUGCUACAAUGUGAGCAGCAGCGUGUUCUCGCCUUAUGGCGCCCCAUUCGAGAGGAACGGGAAAUCACCCAAAUGCUCAUUUAGUAGGGAUUGGGACUGCAAUGGUCCCAUGAACUGAAUUUCUAGUAAGUGCUAGUCAUUAGCUAGCGCUGAUUACGUCCUGCCCUUUGUACACACCGCCGUCGCUACUACCGAUGGAUUAUUUAGUGAGGUCUCUGGAGGCACACCUUCCGCGAUUCCUUCGUGAGUUGCAGUUGGCACGGCGAAGUUGACCGAACUUGAUGAUUUAGAGGAAGUAAAAGUCGUAACAAGGUUUCGUAGGUAACUGCGGAAG
Molecule: ribosomal RNA, 1907 nt
Filed under: Anopheles gambiae (African malaria mosquito)
Lineage: Eukaryota; Metazoa; Arthropoda; Insecta; Diptera; Culicidae
Description: SSU rRNA
Rfam family: Eukaryotic small subunit ribosomal RNA
Source: RNAcentral